Molecule: ribosomal RNA, 497 nt
Filed under: uncultured bacterium
Lineage: Bacteria
Description: partial 16S ribosomal RNA
Rfam family: Bacterial small subunit ribosomal RNA
Source: RNAcentral
GAUGAACGCUGGCGGCGUGCCUAAUACAUGCAAGUCGAGCGAACGGACGAGAAGCUUGCUUCUCUGAUGUUAGCGGCGGACGGGUGAGUAACACGUGGAUAACCUACCUAUAAGACUGGGAUAACUUCGGGAAACCGUAGCUAAUACCGGAUAAUAUUUUGAACCGCAUGGUUCAAAAGUGAAAGACGGUCUUGCUGUCACUUAUAGAUGGAUCCGCGCUGCAUUAGCUAGUUGGUAAGGUAACGGCUUACCAAGGCAACGAUGCAUAGCCGACCUGAGAGGGUGAUCGGCCACACUGGAACUGAGACACGGUCCAGACUCCUACGGGAGGCAGCAGUAGGGAAUCUUCCGCAAUGGGCGAAAGCCUGACGGAGCAACGCCGCGUGAGUGAUGAAGGUCUUCGGAUCGUAAAACUCUGUUAUUAGGGAAGAACAUAUGUGUAAGUAACUGUGCACAUUUUGACGGUACCUAAUCAGAAAGCCACGGCUAACUACGUG